CCAACAACGGGUACGGGUUGUGAGAGCAAGAGCCCGGAGAUGGAUUCUGAGACAUGAAUCCAGGCCCUACGGGGCGCAGCAGGCGCGAAAACUUUACAAUGCGGGAAACCGUGAUAAGGGGACACCGAGUGCCAGCGUCAUACGCUGGCUGUCCAGGUGUGUAAAAUACACCUGUUAGCAAGGGCCGGGCAAGACCGGUGCCAGCCGCCGCGGUAACACCGGCGGCCCGAGUGGUGAUCGUGAUUAUUGGGUCUAAAGGGUCCGUAGCCGGUUUGGUCAGUCCUCCGGGAAAUCUGAUAGCUCAACUAUUAGGCUUUCGGGGGAUACUGCCAGGCUUGGAACCGGGAGAGGUAAGAGGUACUACAGGGGUAGGAGUGAAAUCUUGUAAUCCCUGUGGGACCACCUGUGGCGAAGGCGUCUUACCAGAACGGGUUCGACGGUGAGGGACGAAAGCUGGGGGCACGAACCGGAUUAGAUACCCGGGUAGUCCCAGCCGUAAACGAUGCUCGCUAGGUGUCAGGCAUGGCGCGACCGUGUCUGGUGCCGCAGGGAAGCCGUG
Molecule: ribosomal RNA, 559 nt
Filed under: uncultured Methanosarcina sp.
Lineage: Archaea; Methanobacteriati; Methanobacteriota; Methanomicrobia; Methanosarcinales; Methanosarcinaceae
Description: bacterial SSU rRNA
Rfam family: Archaeal small subunit ribosomal RNA
Source: RNAcentral